GAUAGAGGAUGCUCUGAAACACGUGGAUUACUUUAGAUAUUCUACAAUAGAGGUCGCCAAAAACCAUUUUUCUCGCAUUUUUGAACAGCGUCUUUAAAAAAAAAUCGACGGAUACAGGGUAUCCAGAAAUUAGCCGGUCAAACUACAAUAGCAUAUUGGACGUCAAAAUUUCUAUUAAUAUUUCAGAAACAUGUUCAAAGAAAGUUUUGCUGUUUCGGCGUUUUAUUAAUUUUUGCCCUGCUGAAUUCGGCUCUAAAAUUAUGAAUCUCAAAUGUCGGUCAGGAAUCCGAAAAGGGAUAUUCUGUUACGAUUGACAUCAGUCGGAUGGAUUGUUCUCGAAGAAUGAAAAAUUAUCUCUUUAGAUGAUUUCAGUACCAGUACUUUCGGCAUGGUGUACGAAACUAAUUUACAGUUUUGCUAACAACUGGACAAAUAGAGGGGGGCCCAUUAAUCUGAAUAGCUGGACCGUCUUACUUAAACCCGCUAGCUUAUUAUCUCUUAGGCUCACAAACGAGAGGGACAGAGCUGAAGAACUGAAGAAAAUUAAUACGUCUUCGACAAAACGGUUACCAAGGGCGCAUUAUCAGCAAGGCAAUCAGUAAACAACAACAGCCACAGCAGAGAGUGCAGGACGAGACCCAACAAAGAUCGAUCGCUGUCCUGCCAUACAUCAAGGGGGUUACUGACAAAAUCGGCCGAAUAUUACGGAAACACGACAUAUCAACGGCAUACAAACUUGAUCAUACCAUCGGAGCAAUACUAAGAAACCCAAAACAAAAAAUGACUCUGGAAAACCAAGGAGUAUACAGUGUAGCAUGCGGAUCGUGCAGCCUGACGUAUGUGGGACAGACCAACAGAAGGAUUUCAGCCAGGCUCGAGGAACAUCGUUUAGCCAUAAGAAACAAACAAACAACAUCUGCUUUGUUUCAGCACCAACAUCAGACAGGCCAUAAAAUUGAUUUCGAUACUUGCAAACAAAUAGCUAAUAUUCCAGAUUUUAGGACUAGGAUUAUACGAGAGGCCAUCGAGAUAGAAAAGUCCGGACACCUGAAUACGAGAGACGACGCUCUGCAUUUAUCCAAUACGUGGAGAACGAUAAUCAAACAGCAGAGCGAUACGCAGCAGCCAACGGGAACAUCGCAACUACAAUCGGGCGAAAUUAACCGACAAUUCGG
Cylas formicarius (sweet potato weevil) is the source of this 1175-nucleotide long non-coding RNA. RefSeq lists it as uncharacterized. Lineage: Eukaryota; Metazoa; Arthropoda; Insecta; Coleoptera; Brentidae. The record is from RefSeq and is a predicted model, not a curated record. The transcript has 5 exons.